RNAcentral lists this ribosomal RNA (514 nucleotides) under uncultured bacterium. RNAcentral describes it as "partial 16S ribosomal RNA". It matches the Rfam family "Bacterial small subunit ribosomal RNA", at positions 28 to 523 of the family's 1533-position model. The record is from RNAcentral.
GAUGAACGCUGGCGGCGUGCCUAAUACGUGCCAGUCGAGCGAACAGAUGAGAAGCUUGCUUACCUGAUGUUAGCGGCGGACGGGUGAGUAACACGUGGGUAACCUACCUAUAGGACUGGGAUAACUCCGGGCAACCGGGGCUAAUACCGGCUAAUCGUUGGAACCGCCUGGUCCAAUAGUGAAAGACGGUUUCGGCUGUCACCUAUAGAGGGACCGGCGCCGUCUUAGCUAGUUGGUAAGGUAACGGCUUACCAAGGCGACGAUACGUAGCCGACCUGAGAGGGUGAUCGGCCACACUGGAACUGAGACACGGUCCAGACUCCUACGGGAGGCAGCAGUAGGGAAUCUUCCGCAAUGGGCGAAAGCCUGACGGAGCAACGCCGCGUGAGUGAUGAAGGUCUUCGGAUCGUAAAACUCUGUUGUUAGGGAAGAACAAAUUUGUUAGUAACUGAACAAAUCUUGACGGUACCUAACCAGAAAGCCACGGCUAACUACGUGCCAGCCGCCGCAGUAA